This 377-nucleotide unclassified non-coding RNA is filed under the name uncultured Pseudomonadota bacterium. RNAcentral's name for it is "uncultured proteobacterium contains 16S-23S intergenic spacer region". The record is from RNAcentral. Lineage: Bacteria; Pseudomonadati; Pseudomonadota.
UCCGGCUUAUCACCGGCAGUUUCUUUAGAGUGCCCAACUAAAUGGUGGCAACUAAAGACGAGGGUUGCGCUCGUUGCGGGACUUAACCCAACAUCUCACGACACGAGUUGACGACGGCCAUGCAGCACCUGUGUGCAGGUCCCCGAAGGGAAGGAAUCCAUCUCUGGAAGCCGUCCUGCCAUGUCAAACGCUGGUAAGGUUCUGCGCGUUGCUUCGGAUUAAACCACAUGCUCCACCGCUUGUGCGGGUCCCCGUCAAUUCCUUUGAGUUUUAAUCUUGCGACCGUACUCCCCAGGCGGUCAACUUCACGCGUUAGCUGCGGUACUGAGAACUUGCGCUCCCAACACCUAGUUGACAUCGUUUAGGGCGUGGACUAC